RNAcentral lists this ribosomal RNA (498 nucleotides) under uncultured bacterium. Its description in RNAcentral is "partial 16S ribosomal RNA". It matches the Rfam family "Bacterial small subunit ribosomal RNA", at positions 30 to 523 of the family's 1533-position model. The record is from RNAcentral.
AUUGAACGCUGGCGGCAUGCUUUACACAUGCAAGUCGAACGGUAACAGGUCUUCGGAUGCUGACGAGUGGCGAACGGGUGAGUAAUACAUCGGAACGUGCCUAGUAGUGGGGUAUAACUACUCGAAAGAGUAGCUAAUACCGCAUGAGAUCUACGGAUGAAAGCAGGGGACCUUCGGGCCUUGUGCUACUAGAGCGGCUGAUGGCAGAUUAGGUAGUUGGUGGGGUAAAGGCUUACCAAGCCUGCGAUCUGUAGCUGGUCUGAGAGGACGACCAGCCACGCUGGGACUGAGACACGGCACAGACUCCUACGGGAGGCAGCAGUGGGGAAUUUUGGACAAUGGGCGAAAGCCUGAUCCAGCAAUGCCGCGUGCAGGAUGAAGGCCCUCGGGUUGUAAACUGCUUUUGUACGGAACGAAAAGCCUGGGGCUAAUAUCCCCGGGUCAUGACGGUACCGUAAGAAUAAGCACCGGCUAACUACGUGCCAGCCGCCGCGGUAA